RNAcentral lists this long non-coding RNA (1120 nucleotides) under Strigops habroptila (Kakapo). RNAcentral's name for it is "lncRNA (ENSSHBG00005013958.1)". The record is from RNAcentral. Lineage: Eukaryota; Metazoa; Chordata; Aves; Psittaciformes; Psittacidae.
AGUGUUGAAUCCAUGAAAUGUAUUUAAAAGCUCCUCAUGGGCAAUUUUAUGCUCUUCAUUGAUGGAUGAUACACAGAGGGACAGCACCUGCCUUUUAGCCUGCAGGAACUUGGUGCACGGUGAUACUAAAACCCACCCCCUGAGACACGAGCCCCUUGCCCACAGGGACCCUGACUCAUGGGAGGUGUUGUUCCCCCGAGGAACACGCACCUUGCUCUCUGCUGUUCCAUACAACCCCUAUUCCAUGUGCCUGGAAUGCUGCGAUGUUCCCGCAGCACCUCCCUGCUCCCACCCCCACCAUUGCCCCCCCACAGCCGCAGGCACCGCUGUGCUGCCCCCCGAUCCGCUAGGGGGCGACUCCGCUGAGCUGCCCGUGCUCCGCUAGGGGGCGCCAUCACUCUGCUCUGCUCUCCACUAGGGGGUGACAUCACUGUGCUGCCCUCCCUCCGCUAGGGGGCGCCACUUCUGUGCUGCCCUCCCUCCGCUAGGGGGCGACAACACACUGCUCUGCCCUCCGAUAGGGGGCGCAUCUGUGCUGCCCUCCCUCCGCUAGGGGGCGCCAUCACACUGCUCUGCCCUCCACUAGGGGGCGACAUCACUGUGCUGCCCUUCCUCCACUAGGGGGCGCCACAACUGUGCUGCCCCCCCGCUAGGGGGCGCCACAAUUGUGCUACUCUCCCCCCGCUAGGGGGCGCCUCUGUGCUACCCUCCCUCCGCUAGGGGGCGCCACUUCUGUGCUGCCCUCCCUCCGCUAGGGGGCGCCAUCACUCUGCUCUGCCCUCCACUAGGGGGCGACAUCACUGUGCCGCCCUUCCUCCACUAGGGGGGGCCACAAAUGUACUGCCCCCCCCCCCCGCUAGGGGGCGCCUAUGUGCUACCCUUCCUCCGCUAGGGGGCGCCACAACUGUGCUGCCCCCCCCCCCCCGCUAGGGGGCGCCACAAUUGUGCUACCCUCCCCCCGCUAGGGGGCGCCUCUGUGUUACCCUCCCUUCGCUAGGGGGCGCCACAACUGUGCUGCCCUUCAGCCACGGGGGGGGGGGUGGGGGGGUGGGCGGGUGGGGCUGCUGUGCUGCACCACCCCCACCCCCCUCUGGGGGGCACCACAACUGUGCUGCCCUCC